Long non-coding RNA from Cervus elaphus (red deer), 940 nucleotides. RefSeq lists it as uncharacterized. The record is from RefSeq and is a predicted model, not a curated record. The transcript has 3 exons. NCBI's taxonomy places the organism in Eukaryota, Metazoa, Chordata, Mammalia, Artiodactyla, Cervidae.
AGGUUCGUGGUCAUGUGACGCGAGGAAGGGCGGACGUAAGACCCAAGCAGAGGAGCGGGGCUGUGCGACGGCGAUUCCGCGACAUCUUUGUUGUGGGCAAAGUGCGCCCACCGCAUCUCGUGUUUAAAAGGCUUCUAAGUAGAGAGAAUGGACUCAACACAGCAUUCAUUCUUCUGCUUGUAAAAGUGCAAAUACAGAAGCCUACACUACAGAUGAUUUAAGAGAGAUUGCAUUUCCAAACUAGACUUUCCACAUCCCAGUGUUCUUGGAAGAACUUUCAGUGUGACUGUAAUAUCAGUGUUUGCCACUUUCAAAAAAUCAUGAAGUACAGGAGAAAUACCUAAUGCUGGAGAUAGGUGAGUAUCUCAUUUUUUAAAAAGUUUUUAAAAAGUAGAUUCUGGAAACCACAUACCAAGAGAGCUUAACAUGUAUCCUGGCAAUAAACCAUGUCAAGAAACUUCAUUAUCCAUCACAAGAUAACACAGAACCACUAUGACAUAACUCUGAUUUCAUCAUUAGUUUCCAGGAAUUUGAUGUAAAUGGAGAAAUCUUUUCAAAUAUGCUGCUGAGAAAAAGCUAGGGAAGGUGGCUAUGGUGUUAAGUGAGAUGUUAUGAUUGAGAGAUCUUAAUAGAUUGGGAGCAUGAGCCUAAAGGAACAAGAUGAUAUCUAAGAAAAAUAAAUGUGAAAGUUCUGCACUUAAGUCACAAAUACACAAAUGGACAAGACAAAAAGUAAUGGCGGAAACUUAGCAGCUCAGGCGGAAAAGGCACAAGGGAUUUCGCUGACCAUAAACUCAACGUGUGAUGAUAAUGUGGUGACUAGGCAGCCAGACAAUCCAUGUGGAAUUCUGUUUUUAUUGUUGUUUAGUAGCUCAGUCAUGUCUGACUGUUUGCAGCCCCAUGGACUGUGGCCUGCCAGGCUCCUCUGCCCAUGCAAUCC